UAUCAAGCAAGAGCUUCGUGGUUUCCCAUUCUGUUAGCAAGAGGAACUUCUACUGAAAGAUUCUAUAUUCUCAAGAGUUCUUCUGACAUUUAUGUUGACAUGUUGGUGGAAGGAGAGAAAAGUCGAGCAUUGUCUAAAGGGUUAUUGCAAUGCUACUAUACUAAAGGAAGAAUAAUUUAUACAGUAUUUUCAAUACCCAAGAAGAGCAAUUAAAGACACCAAUUUAGCAGCAAGAUAGGUUGUUCAUAACCAAAUGAGACUAAAAUUAACUAUGGCAGCUAAAUACUCCCAAGUAAAGUAUUAAGACAGUGCAUCGGAAUUCCUUCAAUCUCAUCAUUUUUGCAAUAUUGAUGAUGUACAGGGGUAACUAAAUACAGGUAUGCAAGUGCAAGCUGCAUUAUUGCAAGUGUCAGUAAUGAGUUACAGUUGUGAUAAUAAGAUGAGUCAAAGCACCUG
This is a long non-coding RNA of Exaiptasia diaphana, 456 nucleotides long. RefSeq lists it as uncharacterized. The transcript is spliced from 3 exons. NCBI's taxonomy places the organism in Eukaryota, Metazoa, Cnidaria, Anthozoa, Actiniaria, Aiptasiidae. The record is from RefSeq and is a predicted model, not a curated record.